This 200-nucleotide long non-coding RNA is filed under the name Nicotiana benthamiana. RNAcentral's name for it is "long non-coding RNA (NBEN_LNC011957)". The record is from RNAcentral. Lineage: Eukaryota; Viridiplantae; Streptophyta; Magnoliopsida; Solanales; Solanaceae.
ACAGUGGGGUAAUAUGCGCCAGAAAACACAACAGUAGCAAUAUAAAAAUUAUGUAAAAAUUUAACAUCAUUAAUGACCUCCCAAGUAUCACUUGUUAACAUACGCCUAGGAUCAGUACAAUGUGCAUUAGCAACUUCAGUUAUAGGAAAUCUAUAUUUGUAGCAACAUUUUAUUAAUAUAUAUGUAUAAUUCCAUCUAGU